This 253-nucleotide ribosomal RNA is filed under the name uncultured bacterium. Its description in RNAcentral is "partial 16S ribosomal RNA". It matches the Rfam family "Bacterial small subunit ribosomal RNA", at positions 524 to 776 of the family's 1533-position model. The record is from RNAcentral.
UACGUAGGGUGCGAGCGUUAAUCGGAAUUACUGGGCGUAAAGCGUGCGCAGGCGGCUUUGCAAGACAGAUGUGAAAUCCCCGGGCUUAACCUGGGAACUGCGUCGGAUACUGGAUGGCUUGAAUUCGGGAGAGGGAUGCAGAAUUCCAGGUGUAGCGGUGAAAUGCGUAGAUAUCUGGAGGAAUACCGGUGGCGAAGGCGGCAUCCUGGACCGACAUUGACGCUGAACGGCGAAAGCUAGGGGAGCAAACGGG